Molecule: ribosomal RNA, 894 nt
Filed under: uncultured organism
Description: bacterial SSU rRNA
Rfam family: Bacterial small subunit ribosomal RNA
Source: RNAcentral
CCUGGCUCAGAACGAACGCUGGCGGCGUGCUUAAUACAUGCAAGUCGUGCGAGAAAGUACCCUUCGGGGUGCGAGUACAGCGGCAAACGGGUGAGUAACACGUAAGGAAUCUGCCUCCAAAUCCGGAAUAGCUCUGCCAACGCGGAAUUAAUGCCGGAUGUGGUUGCAUGGUCGCAUGGCUAUGCAACUAAAGGUGACCUCUUCGUUUGAAAGUUACCGUUUGGAGAUGACCUUGCGGCCCAUUAGCUUGUUGGCGGGGUAACGGCCACCAAGGCUGCGAUGGGUAGCCGGCCUGAGAGGGUGAUCGGCCACAUUGGGACUGAGAUACGGCCCAGACUCCUACGGGAGGCAGCAGUAGGGAAUUUUGCGCAAUGGACGAAAGUCUGACGCAGCAACGCCGCGUGAGCGAUGAAGGUCUUCGGAUCGUAAAGCUCUGUUGAGUGGGAAGAAACGUCUCGGGGUUAAUAUCUCCGAGGCCUGACGGUACCACUCGAGGAAGCUCCGGCCAACUACGUGCCAGCAGCCGCGGUAAUACGUAGGGAGCGAGCGUUGUUCGGAAUCACUGGGCGUAAAGGGAGUGCAGGCGGAAAGGUAAGUCAGAAGUGUAAUCUACGGGCUUAACCCGUAUCUCGCUUUUGAUACUGCUUUUCUUGAGUAGUGGAGAGGGAAACGGAAUUCCAGGUGUAGCGGUGGAAUGCGUAGAUAUCUGGAAGAACACCAGUAGCGAAGGCGGUUUCCUGGCCACAUACUGACGCUGAGGCUCGAAAGCGUGGGGAGCAAACAGGAUUAGAUACCCUGGUAGUCCACGCCGUAAACGAUGGGCACUAGAUAUCGGGGAAUUCGAUUUCUUCGGUGUCGCAGUUAACGCGAUAAGUGCCCCGCCUGGGGAGUACG